RNAcentral lists this ribosomal RNA (279 nucleotides) under uncultured bacterium. RNAcentral describes it as "partial 16S ribosomal RNA". It matches the Rfam family "Bacterial small subunit ribosomal RNA", at positions 506 to 784 of the family's 1533-position model. The record is from RNAcentral.
UGCCAGCCGCCGCGGUAAUACGAAGGGGGCAAGCGUUGUUCGGAAUUACUGGGCGUAAAGCGUGCGUAGGUGGAUUUGCAAGUUAGGAGUGAAAGCCCAGGGCUCAACCCUGGAAUUGCUCUUAAAACUGCAUUUCUUGAAUUCGGGAGAGGAUAGUGGAAUACCCAGUGUAGAGGUGAAAUUCGUAGAUAUUGGGUGGAACACCAGUGGCGAAGGCGACUAUCUGGACCGACAUUGACACUGAGGCACGAAAGCGUGGGGAGCAAACAGGAUUAGAUA